This 3005-nucleotide ribosomal RNA is filed under the name Parcubacteria group bacterium ADurb.Bin326. RNAcentral's name for it is "bacterial LSU rRNA". It matches the Rfam family "Bacterial large subunit ribosomal RNA". The record is from RNAcentral.
CAAGGGCAAAUGGUGGAUGCCUUGACACUAAAAGGCGAUGAAGGACGUAGCAAUCUGCGAUAAGCUUCGGGGAGGUGAUAAGCAACCUUUGAUCCGUAGAUUUCCGAAUGGGGAAACCCGGCGCGGUAAACCCGCGUCACUCAUAUCUGAAUACAUAGGGUAUGAGAGGCAACCCGGCGAAGUGAAACAUCUCAGUAGCCGGAGGAAAAGAAAAAAUUGUUUCCUUAGAUCUUUGUUCCGAUUUAUCGGAGUAGAGAUCUAUGGAUUGUAUUCCGUCAGUAGUGGCGAGCGAAAGCGGAGCAGCCCAAACCAUAACAUGUGUUGUUUUGAUGAAAACCGGCCUUCGGGUCGGUCGUAGUCGGAGCAUAAAGGAGUGCCCGUUGCUGUUAUGGGGUGCAGAUUAUAACAUUCGGCUUGCACUGUGGCCGAGCAGAAUAAAAUCUUUAGUGGAGCGGUUUUGGAAUAGCCGACCAAAGAGGGUGAAAGUCCCGUACGCGAAAAGGAUCGUACUUCUGUAGUUUUAAUCUAAAGUACCACAGGACUCGAGAAAUCUUGUGGGAAUCUGCCGUGACUAUACGGUAAGGCUAAAUACUUUUAGUGAUCGAUAGUGAACCAGUACCGUGAGGGAAAGGUGAAAAGCAGCCCGGUGAGGGCGAUGAAAUAGUAUCUGAAACCAUUUGCUUACAAACGAGUUGGAGUCCAAGGUCGCAGCAAUGCGAAUUCUGGAUGACAGCGUUCCUAUUGAAGAAUGAGCCAACGAGUUUAUUCUACGUUGCCAGUUUAACCUCUCCGGAGGGAAGGCACAGUGAAAGCGAGGAUUAAUAGUCCGACCAAUCGCAGCGUGGAUAAGACCCGAAACGAGGUGAUCUAUUCAUGACCAGGGUGAACCAAAUGUAACAGUUUGGGAAGGCCCGAACUCACAUGCCGUGCAACACAUGGAGAUGAGUUGUGAAUAGCGGAGAAAUUCCAAUCGAACUUCGUGAUAGCUGGUUCUCCUCGAAAUAGCUUUAGGGCUAGCUUCAAGAUAGGACUCAGGGGUAGAGCACUGAAUGAGAACGGGCCCGCAAGGGUACCUUUUUCAAUCAAACUCCGAAUACUGAGUAUCCGUUUCUUGGAAGUCAGACUAUGGGCGCUAAGGUCCAUCAGUCAAAAGGGAAACAGCCCAGACCGCCGGUUAAGGCCCCAAAAUCUAUGUUAAGUGUGAAAAGUGGUAUCAAGACUGCGACAACCAGGAGGUUGGCUUGGAAGCAGCCAUCCUUUAAAGAAAGCGUAAUAGCUCACUGGUCAAGUUUUCUUGCGCUGAAAAUGUAUCGGGGCUAAACAUAGUGCCGAAACUGCGGAUUCUAUAUUUAUAUAGAGUGGUAGAGGAGUGUUUUUAACGGGAUGAAGCCGUAGCCGUGAGGCGCGGUGGACUGUUAGGAAGUAAGAAUGUUGGCAUAAGUAGCAAGAAUCCGGAUGAGAAUUCCGGACACCGUAAAUCCGAGGUUUCCUGGGCAACGAGAAUCGACCCAGGGUUAGUCGGUCCUAAGGCGAGGCUGAAAGGCGUAGUCGAUGGACAAGCAGGUUAAUAUUCCUGCACUACCUUAAUUUUCCAAUGGAGUGACGCAUUCCUAGAGAUCGAUCGUCCUAUGGCUAUGGCGAUGACGUUAGUAGGCGUGACUGGUAGGCAAAUCCGCCAGUCAUUAAGCGCCGAAUUCGGCAAGAGGUGAUGCCGCAAGGCGGAUCCGAUUCGAUUAACGGGGGUGCCAAGAAAACCUUCUAGGGCUAAGGUUAAGGUAACCGUACUUAAACCGACACAGGUGGAUGAGGCGAGUAGCCUCAGGUGUACGAGAGAAACUUCGCUAAGGAACUCGGCAAAAAAGCGGCCGUAACUUAGGGAUAAGGCCUGCCCGCUUUAUGCGGGCCGCAGCUAAAGAUAUCAAGCGACUGUUUAUCAAAAACUUAGGUCCCUGCUAAACCGUAAGGUGAUGUAUAGGGGCUGAUGCCUGGCCAGUGUCUGAACGUUAAGGGGAGAGGUCAACCGGUUUCCGGGGCAGCUUUGAACUGAAGCGCAGAUGAACGCCGGCGAUAACUAUAAUCGUCCUAAGGUAGCGAAAUUCCUUGACGGGUAAGUUCCGUCCCGCACGAAUGGCAUAACGACUUGAUAACUGUCUCAGCGAAGUACUCGGCGAAAUUGCAAGGGAGGUGAAGAUGCCUCCUACCCGUGGUUAGACGAAAAGACCCCAUGAAGCUUUACUACAACUUAGUAUUGAAUUGUGGCCUAGCAUGUUUAGAAUAGGUGGGAGCCCUCGGGCAUCAGUGAAAUACCACCCUUGCUAUGUUAUAAUUCUAACCUACUCCCGUGAAUCCGGGAGAGGGACAGUAUUUGGUGGGUAGUUUAACUGGGGCGGUUGCCUCCCAAAAUGUAACGGAGGCGUUUACAAAGGUUGGCUAGCUCCGGAUGGAAAUCGGAGUGAUAGUGUAAAGGCACAAGCCAGCUUUACUGCGAGGCCUGCAAGCCAAGCAGUCGCGAAAGCGGAACUUAGUGAUCCGACCGUACGAAGUAGGACGGCGGAAGCUCAACGGAUAAAAGCUACUCUGGGGAUAACAGGCUAGUCUGGUCCAAGAGUCCACAUCGACGACCAGGUUCGGCACCUCGAUGUCGGCUCGUCACAUCCUGGGGGUGGAGAAGCUCCCAAGGGUUCGGCUGUUCGCCGAUUAAAGUGGCACGCGAGCUGGGUUCAGAACGUCGUGAGACAGUUCGGUCUCCUAUCUACCAUGGGCGCAGAAAUUUGAGAAGGCCAUUUCCUAGUACGAGAGGACCGGAAAUGACGAACCUCUAGUGUGUCAGCUGUCCUGCCAAGGGCACCGCUGGGUAGCUACGUUCGGUUAAGAUAAACGCUGAAAGCAUCUAAGCGUGAAGCUGUCUUCAAGAUAAGAUUUCAAAAUCCCCUUCGAGACGAGGAGGUUGAUAGGCUGCAGGUGUAAGCGUAGCAAUACGUUCAGCCGAGCAGUACUAAUGGAUU